This 927-nucleotide ribosomal RNA is filed under the name Frigoribacterium sp. RNAcentral describes it as "bacterial SSU rRNA". It matches the Rfam family "Bacterial small subunit ribosomal RNA", at positions 565 to 1490 of the family's 1533-position model. The record is from RNAcentral. Lineage: Bacteria; Bacillati; Actinomycetota; Actinomycetes; Micrococcales; Microbacteriaceae.
GAGCUCGUAGGCGGUUUGUCGCGUCUGCUGUGAAAUCUGGGGGCUCAACCCCCAGCCUGCAGUGGGUACGGGCAGACUAGAGUGCGGUAGGGGAGAUUGGAAUUCCUGGUGUAGCGGUGGAAUGCGCAGAUAUCAGGAGGAACACCGAUGGCGAAGGCAGAUCUCUGGGCCGUAACUGACGCUGAGGAGCGAAAGCAUGGGGAGCGAACAGGAUUAGAUACCCUGGUAGUCCAUGCCGUAAACGUUGGGAACUAGAUGUGGGGGCCAUUCCACGGUCUCCGUGUCGCAGCUAACGCAUUAAGUUCCCCGCCUGGGGAGUACGGCCGCAAGGCUAAAACUCAAAGGAAUUGACGGGGGCCCGCACAAGCGGCGGAGCAUGCGGAUUAAUUCGAUGCAACGCGAAGAACCUUACCAAGGCUUGACAUAUACCGGAAACGUCCAGAGAUGGUCGCCCCGCAAGGUCGGUAUACAGGUGGUGCAUGGUUGUCGUCAGCUCGUGUCGUGAGAUGUUGGGUUAAGUCCCGCAACGAGCGCAACCCUCGUUCUAUGUUGCCAGCACGUUAUGGUGGGAACUCAUAGGAGACUGCCGGGGUCAACUCGGAGGAAGGUGGGGAUGACGUCAAAUCAUCAUGCCCCUUAUGUCUUGGGCUUCACGCAUGCUACAAUGGCCGGUACAAAGGGCUGCGAUACCGUAAGGUGGAGCGAAUCCCAAAAAGCCGGUCUCAGUUCGGAUUGAGGUCUGCAACUCGACCUCAUGAAGUCGGAGUCGCUAGUAAUCGCAGAUCAGCAACGCUGCGGUGAAUACGUUCCCGGGCCUUGUACACACCGCCCGUCAAGUCAUGAAAGUCGGUAACACCCGAAGCCAGUGGCCUAACCCUUGUGGAUGGAGCUGUCGAAAGUGGGAUCGGUGAUUAGGACGAAGUCGUA